This 505-nucleotide ribosomal RNA is filed under the name uncultured bacterium. Its description in RNAcentral is "bacterial SSU rRNA". It matches the Rfam family "Bacterial small subunit ribosomal RNA", at positions 21 to 518 of the family's 1533-position model. The record is from RNAcentral.
GGCUCAGGACGAACGCUGGCGGCGUGCUUAACACAUGCAAGUCGAACGGGGAUCAUCGGGCGGAAGGCUUCGGCCGGAAGGCUGGUGAUUCCAGUGGCGGACGGGUGAGUAACGCGUGAACAAUCUGUCCCAGACAGGGGGAUAACACUUGGAAACAGGUGCUAAUACCGCAUGAGACCACGGUGUCGCAUGGCACAGAGGUAAAAGGAGUAAUCCGGUUUGGGGUGAGUUCGCGUCCGAUUAGCCAGUUGGCGGGGUAACGGCCCACCAAAGCGACGAUCGGUAGCCGACCUGAGAGGGUGAUCGGCCACAUUGGAACUGAGAGACGGUCCAAACUCCUACGGGAGGCAGCAGUGGGGAAUAUUGGGCAAUGGGCGAAAAAGCCUGACCCAGCAACGCCGCGUGAGUGAAGAAGGCCUUCGGGUUGUAAAGCUCUGUUAUAGGGGACGAAGUGCGUGACGGUACCCUAUAAGGAAGCCCCGGCUAACUACGUGCCAGCCGCCGC